UGGCUAAGUCAGCCAGGUGUGAAAGCCCCGGGCUCAACCUGGGAACGGCAUCUGGAACUGCUUGGCUAGAGUGCAGGAGAGGAAGGUAGAAUUCCCGGUGUAGCGGUGAAAUGCGUAGAGAUCGGGAGGAAUACCAGUGGCGAAGGCGGCCUUCUGGACUGACACUGACACUGAGGUGCGAAAGCGUGGGUAGCAAACAGGAUUAGAUACCCUGGUAGUCCACGCCGUAAACGAUGUCAACUAGCCGUUGGGUCCCUUGAGGACUUAGUGGCGCAGCUAACGCAAUAAGUUGACCGCCUGGGGAGUACGGCCGCAAGGUUAAAACUCAAAUGAAUUGACGGGGGCCCGCACAAGCGGUGGAGCAUGUGGUUUAAUUCGAUGCAACGCGAAGAACCUUACCUACCCUUGACAUCCAGAGGACUUUCCAGAGAUGGAUUGGUGCCUUCGGGAACUCUGAGACAGGUGCUGCAUGGCUGUCGUCAGCUCGUGUUGUGAAAUGUUGGGUUAAGUCCCGUAACGAGCGCAACCCCUAUCCUUAUUUGCCAGCGAGUAAUGUCGGGAACUCUAAGGAGACUGCCGGUGACAAACCGGAGGAAGGUGGGGACGACGUCAAGUCAUCAUGGCCCUUACGGGUAGGGCUACACACGUGCUACAAUGGCAAGUACAAAGGGUUGCAAUACGGCGACGUGGAGCCAAUCCCAUAAAGCUUGCCUCAGUCCGGAUUGGAGUCUGCAACUCGACUCCAUGAAGUCGGAAUCGCUAGUAAUCGUGGAUCAGAAUGCCACGGUGAAUACGUUCCCGGGCCUUGUACACACCGCCCGUCACACCAUGGGAGUGGACUGCACCAGAAGUGGUUAGCCUAACCUUCGGGAGGGCGAUCA
RNAcentral lists this ribosomal RNA (881 nucleotides) under Cobetia sp. MNB2_MN. RNAcentral's name for it is "bacterial SSU rRNA". It matches the Rfam family "Bacterial small subunit ribosomal RNA", at positions 576 to 1456 of the family's 1533-position model. Lineage: Bacteria; Pseudomonadati; Pseudomonadota; Gammaproteobacteria; Oceanospirillales; Halomonadaceae. The record is from RNAcentral.